CGCGGCCUAUCAGCUUGUUGGUGGGGUAACGGCCUACCAAGGCGACGACGGGUAGCCGGCCUGAGAGGGCGACCGGCCACACUGGGACUGAGACACGGCCCAGACUCCUACGGGAGGCAGCAGUGGGGAAUAUCGCGCAAUGGGCGGAAGCCUGACGCAGCGACGCCGCGUGGGGGAUGAAGGCCCUCGGGUUGUAAACCCCUUUCAGCAGGGACGAAGCGCAAGUGACGGUACCUGCAGAAGAAGCGCCGGCUAACUACGUGCCAGCAGCCGCGGUAACACGUAGGGCGCAAGCGUUGUCCGGAAUUAUUGGGCGUAAAGAGCUCGUAGGUGGUCUGUUGCGUCCGCUGUGAAAUCUCAGGGCUUAACCCUGAGCCUGCAGUGGAUACGGGCAGACUAGAGGUAGGUAGGGGAGAAUGGAAUUCCUGGUGUAGCGGUGAAAUGCGCAGAUAUCAGGAGGAACACCGGUGGCGAAGGCGGUUCUCUGGGCCUUACCUGACACUGAGGAGCGAAAGCGUGGGGAGCGAACAGGAUUAGAUACCCUGGUAGUCCACGCCGUAAACGUUGGGCGCUAGGUGUGGGAUCCUUCCACGGAUUCCGUGCCGCAGCUAACGCAUUAAGCGCCCCGCCUGGGGAG
This 637-nucleotide ribosomal RNA is filed under the name uncultured bacterium. Its description in RNAcentral is "bacterial SSU rRNA". It matches the Rfam family "Bacterial small subunit ribosomal RNA", at positions 232 to 880 of the family's 1533-position model. The record is from RNAcentral.